GUCCAUGUUGAAGAAAGAUAUAGCCUACACUUGAAAAAUGAGGGAUUAAAAUGCAAGACUUCAGAUGCUGGUGCUCUCUCUUCUGGCUUGAACUCUCCUUUCUUCUUUAAAUUAUAAUGUCUCAACGUUUCAAAGGAGCCUUCGCUAAGAAGCCAUAAUAAGUGACAGGGUGAAAACAGCUACAAACCACACCUAUUGAUGAGUCAGCCCACCUGGCUGUACUUGGCCUCUGUCUGUCUCUGGACCUUUCUGCUGAUCUAGCAGGAGCCCUGUGAGUCGGCAAGACCCUUUUAGGAAGUUUGCAAUUUGUAGACUGAAUACAGUUGGGAAGGGAAUCUCCAAGCACGAAGAUAUAACAGCAGAAACCUGCACAACUGAAAAAACAAAGAGAACAAAGAUCGAAACAACCCAGAAUACCCAAGAACUGAGGGACAACAACCGAAAGUGUAGCAUGCACUAAUAGGAAUAAUAGAAGGAGAAGAAAGAGAGAAAGGAACAGAAGCAGUAUUUGAAGCAAAAAUGCCUGAUAAUUGUCACCAAAUUAAUGUCAGACACCAAAUCACAUAUCCAGGAAUCUCGGUGAACACCAAGCAGGAUAAAUGCUAAAAAGGAAAAUCUACUUCAACUGCCAUAUUCUAUUCAAACUAUAGUAAAGAAAAGAUAAAGGAAAAACUCUGGAAGAAGGCACAGGGAAAAACACCUUUCCUCUGAGGGACUUCUCUUCAGAAACUAUCCAACCAAGAAGAAAGUGAAAUUAAAUAUUUAAAAUGUUGAAAGAAAAGCCACCAACCUAGAAUUCCCACCGUAUGAAAUUAUCCUUCAAAAGUGAAGAGGAAAUAAAAGGCAUGAUCAGUCAAAUAAAAAUCGAGGAAAUUUGUUCCCAGUAGAUAUGCCUUGCAAGACACAUUAAAAGAUGCUCUUUAGGAGAAGGAAAAUAAUCUAGGCCAGAAACUUGGCUCUACAUAAAGGAAGACCAUCAAAGAAGGAACAAGUGAAGGUUGUGGCGUGGACCGAAGGAGCUGUAGAGUUUCGGAAUCUGGAGUGGCUUUCACCUUCUCUGAAUCCACGGAAGUCAGGUUCAGGCAAGCACCUCCUGCUAAGGAAGACCCCAGCUACAGCCAGUAUGCACGGUCUCCUACCACCUCCCUCCUUGGAGAUUGGCUCCGGACAGACACCCAUGUGCCCAGGCCACUUGCUGAAGUCCUGCCUCUCCUUUCAGGGCCAGGCCAAC
Molecule: long non-coding RNA, 1231 nt
Organism: Tupaia belangeri chinensis (Chinese tree shrew)
Lineage: Eukaryota; Metazoa; Chordata; Mammalia; Scandentia; Tupaiidae
Exons: 3
Source: RefSeq, a predicted model, not a curated record